RNAcentral lists this ribosomal RNA (1496 nucleotides) under uncultured bacterium. RNAcentral describes it as "bacterial SSU rRNA". It matches the Rfam family "Bacterial small subunit ribosomal RNA". The record is from RNAcentral.
CCCUUAGAGUUUGAUCCUGGCUCAGAAUGAACGCUAAUAGUAUGCUUAAUACAUGCGAAUCGAACGGAUAUUUUUCGUGGUGUACGGGUGAGGAAAAGCAGAAUGCUACCUUUUAGUUUAGCAUAACAAUAUAUUUAAUAUAUUAAAUUCUAAAUAAUAAAAAAAGAUCUAUGUUUUUACACAUAGCUUCGCUAAAAGAUGGGUCUGUAAAAGAUUAGGUAGUUGGUAAAUUUAACAGCUUACCAAGCCAUUGAUCUUUAGUUGGUCUUAGAGGGUGAUCAACCACACUGGAACUGAAACAAGGUCCAGGCUGAAAUUUCGGCCAGCAGUAGGGAAUAUUGGACAAUGAACGAAAGUUUGAUCCAGCAAUACUAUCUGAAUGAAGACGGCUAAUUUAGUUGUAAAGUUCUUUCGUUAACGACGAUAAUGACGUUAGUUAAAGAAGCAGUCCCGGCUAAUACUCGUGCCAGCAGCCGCGGUAAAACGGGAGGGGCAAGCGUUAUUCGGCAUGAUUGGGCGUAAAGGGUCCGUAGACGGUAGAGUAAGUUCUUUGUUAAAUCUUAAAGCCUAACUUUAAAAUAACUUAGAAUACUGUUUUACUUGAGUUUUAUAUAGAAGACUGGAAUUUUAUACGGAAGGGUAAAAUCUGUAGAUAUAUAAAGGAACACCAGUAGCGAAGGCGAGUCUUUGGUAAAUACUGACGUUGAGGGACGAAAGUAUGGUAGCAAACAGGAUUAGAUACCCUGGUAGUCCAUACUGUAAACUCUGAGUGCUGUAAUUUAAUAUAAAUGUUAAUCUUUAAGAUUUUAUGGUUUAAUUAGAUUUUUAAGCUAACGCCAUAAGAACUCCGCCUGAGAAGUACGAUCGCAAGGUUGGAACUCAAAGGAAUUGACGGGGGCUAAUACUAGUGGUGGAGCAUGUGGUUUAAUGCGAUAAUCCGCGCAUAACCUUACCUAUUUUUGAUAUAAAACUAAUACUACAAUGUUACAUUUGGGUGAAAUUAUUGUAUUAAGUUUUACAGGUGUUGCACGACUGUCGUCAGCCCGUGUCGUGAGAUGUUUGGUUAAUUCCUUUAACGAGCGUAACUCUUAUUCUUAUUGUAAUGAUUUCUGAUUAACUUUAGUUUAUUCAUGAAAAUUCUAACGAUACGGUCAAUGAUAAGUUGAAGGAAGGUGAGAACGAAGUCAAGUCAAUGUGACCCUUAUAAAUUGGGCUACACACGUGCUACAAUGAAAAUUACAAAAAGUAACCAAAAUUUAAUUUUAAGUUAAUCUUUAAAGAUUUUCCCAGUUCGGAUUGAAAGCUGAAACUCGCUUUCAUAAAGAUGGAAUCACUAGUAAUCGCAAAUCAGCACGUUGCGGUGAAUUGUUAAUUAGCCUUGUACACACCGCCCGUCACAUGCAGAGAAUCAGUUUUGCUUGAAAAUUUAUCUUUGUAAGGUAAAUUCAUUGAAAAAUUGGUAAUUUGGAUGAAGUCGUAACAAGGUAACCAAGGGC